RNAcentral lists this transfer RNA (73 nucleotides) under Actinomycetota bacterium. Its description in RNAcentral is "tRNA-Asn". It matches the Rfam family "tRNA". From Rfam's summary of the family: Transfer RNA (tRNA) molecules are approximately 80 nucleotides in length. The record is from RNAcentral. Lineage: Bacteria; Bacillati; Actinomycetota.
UCUCUCGUAGCUCAACUGGCAGAGCAGCCGACUGUUAAUCGGCAGGUUGGAGGUUCGAGUCCUCCCGGGGGAG